Long non-coding RNA from Vitis riparia (riverbank grape), 428 nucleotides. RefSeq lists it as uncharacterized. Lineage: Eukaryota; Viridiplantae; Streptophyta; Magnoliopsida; Vitales; Vitaceae. The record is from RefSeq and is a predicted model, not a curated record. The transcript is spliced from 3 exons.
GUGACAAACAAAGAGAGGGAGAGAGGGGUGUGGGUAAACUUUGCACUUUGGAUUUACUUUUGACAUUUCUCUCCCACCAAGAGAUCAAAACCAGCAGCAGGAACACUAUAUUUGGAUUUCUCAACACCAUCUCUCUGCUCCAUUCCUUCAAUCAGAUACUAGAGGUAGAAUCUGGAAGGCGAAUUAAUAAGAAACUCAAAUAGUUUCUUUGAAGGAAACUAGCAGCAAUUAGAGAUUGUAAUUCAAGGGACGCAUAUUUUUCAUAGUGGUUUUUUUAUUUGCUGGGAUGGGAACUGUGGGCACUUCGGCAUUUUUCACCCUCCCAGAGAUUUAAAUCCAUAGAAGGGACAUUGAGAUUUGGUCUGAGUUGGAGGUUCUUUCCUUUGAGUUAGGAUUUCUCAUCAGCAUCUCUCUAUUUCCAUUGCUUC